This is a non-coding RNA of Maylandia zebra (zebra mbuna), 522 nucleotides long. Lineage: Eukaryota; Metazoa; Chordata; Actinopteri; Cichliformes; Cichlidae. The record is from RefSeq and is a predicted model, not a curated record.
UAGAACUUGCCACUCACACACUGAGCAGCACUCACUAACUUUCUAUUUCUAAACAAUUUGUUCACUUUUUAUCUCAGGCAUGUCUGAAAAGACAUCAAAUAACUUUUUCCAUCGCUUUAAAGAUUUGAUUCAGAGAAAGCGCACAGGUGGAGAUGCAGACACAUUGCAUAUCGCACAGAGACCCAGAGAUUAUGCUGUGCAUCUCCCACCUUUACCUGAGCAAUGCGCAGGCUCUCCACAGAGAGUCCAGAGAAGCUGGAACUGUUUGGAUGACCCCUUUUGGAAUCAGGAGGACCCUGAAAGAAGUCUGAGUAGCCUCAGCUCUGCAGACACACACACACCAAGUGAUCUGAGGGCCAUUCCUUUCAUUGUUAGUCCUGUUGAGAUGACACCGCUCACUCCAGUUCCUCCACCUCCUCGAGCAGCUUGUCCAUCGCAAUUGCGGUUCAAAGACACGAAGUUCAUUCGUGGAAUAAGAGUCUUGACAGCAAAAGACAAAUUUGGGCCUAUUUUGACUCCAAA